GGCUAUAUAGCUUAACGGUAAAGUACUCCUUUAAUUAAAGAAAAAGUCUAGGUUUAAGUCUUAGUAUAGUUA
RNAcentral lists this transfer RNA (72 nucleotides) under Colletotrichum chlorophyti. It matches the Rfam family "tRNA". Rfam says of the family: Transfer RNA (tRNA) molecules are approximately 80 nucleotides in length. Lineage: Eukaryota; Fungi; Ascomycota; Sordariomycetes; Glomerellales; Glomerellaceae. The record is from Rfam by way of RNAcentral.